RNAcentral lists this ribosomal RNA (301 nucleotides) under uncultured bacterium. Its description in RNAcentral is "partial 16S ribosomal RNA". It matches the Rfam family "Bacterial small subunit ribosomal RNA", at positions 509 to 808 of the family's 1533-position model. The record is from RNAcentral.
CAGUAGCCGCGGUAAUACGAAGGGUGCAAGCGUUACUCGGAAUUACUGGGCGUAAAGCGCACGUAGGCGGCUUGGUAAGUUAGAGGUGAAAGCCCGGAGCUCAACUCCGGAAUUGCCUUUAAGACUGCCGAGCUAGUAGGUGAGAGAGGUAAGUGGAAUUCCGAGUGUAGAGGUGAAAUUCGUAGAUAUUGGGUAGAACACCGGUGGCGAAGGCGGCCAUCUGGACCGGAUCUGACGCUGAGGCGCGAAAGCGUGGGGAGCAAACAGGAUUAGAUACCCCAGUAGUCCCUGUCUCUUAACA